Molecule: ribosomal RNA, 254 nt
Filed under: uncultured bacterium
Lineage: Bacteria
Description: partial 16S ribosomal RNA
Rfam family: Bacterial small subunit ribosomal RNA
Source: RNAcentral
UACGUAGGGACCAAGCGUUGUUCGGAUUUACUGGGCGUAAAGGGCGCGUAGGCGGCGUGUUAAGUCAGCUGUGAAAUCUCCGAGCUUAACUCGGAACGGUCAGCUGAUACUGAUGUGCUAGAGUGCAGAAGGGGCAAUCGGAAUUCUUGGUGUAGCGGUGAAAUGCGUAGAUAUCAAGAGGAACACCUGAGGUGAAGACGGGUUGCUGGGCCGACACUGACGCUGAUAGCGCGAAAGCCAGGGGAGCAAACGGG